CACGUACUGCGCGAGCGUUAUUCGGAAUCACUGGGCGUAAAGGGUGCGUAGGCGGUUCAAUUAGUCAGGUGUGAAAUCCCAUGGCCCAACCAUGGAACUGCACUUGAAACUGUUGAACUUGAGUUCUCUAGGGGUGAGCGGAACUUCCGGUGGAGCGGUGAAAUGUGUUGAGAUCGGAAGGAACACCAAGAGCGAAAGCAGCUCACUGGGGAGAUACUGACGCUGAGGCACGAAAGCCAGGGGAGCGAACGGG
Molecule: ribosomal RNA, 253 nt
Filed under: uncultured bacterium
Lineage: Bacteria
Description: partial 16S ribosomal RNA
Rfam family: Bacterial small subunit ribosomal RNA
Source: RNAcentral